CCUACGGGAGGCAGCAGUGGGGAAUCUUGGGCAAUGGCCGAAAGGCUGACCCAGCGACGCCGCGUGUGGGAUGACGCUUUUCGGAGUGUAAACCACUGUCAGGGGGGACGAAGUCUCGGGGUUCGAACAGGGCCUCGAGCUGACGGUACCUCCAGAGGAAGCGCCGGCUAACUCCGUGCCAGCAGCCGCGGUAAGACGGAGGGCGCGAGCGUUGUUCGGAAUUACUGGGCGUAAAGCGCGCGCAGGCGGGUGCGCAAGUCGGAAGUGAAAGCGCAGGGCUCAACCCUGCGACGCCUUCCGAGACUGCGUGUCUGGGGACCGGUAGAGGUGAGUGGAAUUCCCGGUGUAGCGGUGGAAUGCGUAGAUAUCGGGAAGAACACCGGAGGCGAAGGCGGCUCACUGGGCCGGAUCCGACGCUGAGGCGCGAAAGCGUGGGGAGC
RNAcentral lists this ribosomal RNA (440 nucleotides) under uncultured bacterium. RNAcentral describes it as "bacterial SSU rRNA". It matches the Rfam family "Bacterial small subunit ribosomal RNA", at positions 338 to 769 of the family's 1533-position model. The record is from RNAcentral.